AGUGAACGCUGGCGGCAGGCCUAACACAUGCAAGUCGAACGGAUGAAGGGAGCUUGCUUCUGGAUUCAGCGGCGGACGGGUGAGUAAUGCCGAGGAAUCUGCCUGUUAGUUUGGGAGAAGGUCCGGAAACGGGCGCUAAUACGCCAUUCGUCCUGAGGAAGAAAGUGUGGGAGCUUCGGACCUCACGCUAUCGCAUGAUCCUAGGUCGGAUUAGCUAGUUGGUGGGGUAAAGGCCUACCAAGGCGACGAUCCGUAACUGGUCUGAGAGGAUGAUCAGUCACACUGGAACUGAGACACGGUCCAGACUCCUACGGGAGGCAGCAGUGGGGAAUAUUGGACAAUGGGCGCAAGCCUGAUCCAGCCAUGCCGCGUGUGUGAAGAAGGUCUUCGGAUUGUAAAGCACUUUAAGUUGGGAGGAAGGGCAGUAAGUUAAUACCUUGCUGUUCUGACGUUACCAACAGAAUAAGCACCGGCUAACUUCGUG
This 484-nucleotide ribosomal RNA is filed under the name uncultured bacterium. RNAcentral describes it as "partial 16S ribosomal RNA". It matches the Rfam family "Bacterial small subunit ribosomal RNA", at positions 29 to 507 of the family's 1533-position model. The record is from RNAcentral.